This 667-nucleotide ribosomal RNA is filed under the name Protoparmelia hypotremella. RNAcentral's name for it is "eukaryotic LSU rRNA". It matches the Rfam family "Eukaryotic large subunit ribosomal RNA", at positions 343 to 1032 of the family's 3401-position model. Lineage: Eukaryota; Fungi; Ascomycota; Lecanoromycetes; Lecanorales; Parmeliaceae. The record is from RNAcentral.
CACAAGUAGAGUGAUCGAAAGAUGAAAAGCACUUUGGAAAGAGAGUCAAAAAGUACGUGAAAUUGUUGAAAGGGAAGCGCUURCAACCAGACCUGUCCGUAGGUGAUCAGCCGCCGUUCUCGGUGGUGCACUCGCYUGCGAUCAGGCCAGCAUCGGUUCGGGCGGUCGGAUAAAGRCCCUGGGAAUGUAGCUCCUCUCGGGGAGUSUUAUAGCCCUCGGUGCAAUGCGGCCAGCCCGGACCGAGGACCGCGCUUCGGCUAGGAUGCUGGCGUAAUGGUUGUAAGCGACCCGUCUUGAAACACGGACCAAGGAGUCUAACAUCUAUGCGAGUGUUUGGGUGUYAAACCCAUACGCGGAAUGAAAGUGAACGGAGGUGAGAACCCUUUAGGGCGCAUCAUCGACCGAUCCAGAUGUCUUCGGAUGGAUUUGAGUAUGAGCAUAGCUGUUGGGACCCGAAAGAUGGUGAACUAUGCCUGAAUAGGGUGAAGCCAGAGGAAACUCUGGUGGAGGCUCGCAGCGGUUCUGACGUGCAAAUCGAUCGUCAAAUUUGGGUAUAGGGGCGAAAGACUAAUCGAAYCAUYUAGUAGCUGGUUCCUGCCGAAGUUUCCCUCAGGAUAGCAGUAACGUUUUCAGUUUUAKGAGGUAAAGCGAAUGAUUAGAGGCCUUG